AGAUGAUCUCACCCAUCCACGGAAUUCAUCCAACAGCUGCUGCUGUUUGUCGUACAUAAAUCGUACAAUCUUGGUCUUACAUGUAGCAACGCUCAAUUAGAAAUGACAAUCAAGUGCAACAAGAUAACCGAGCAGAGGUUCAUAAUUUAAAUGCUCAAAACUUUAACAUUGUUCACGUUCAUUGCCAAUCUCCAUCAAACUUCCUAACCCCAGAUCGUUAACAAAACUAUGUUUCUGGAAUACAUUGAUAGCACAACUAACUGAGACCUCGACCAAAACAUUCGGAUCAGAAAGAUAUGAAAAUGGAGACAUAAGGCAUGGAUCUUCAGGCGGUUUCAGUCACAGGGUACUCAAAGACAACGUCUUUCCCACAAAGCCUGCGGUAGACUGCAGAGAAGGUCUCCAGCUUGUAUUCAGUGUUGUUGCGCUCCUUUGGGUCCAAGUAGAUCUGGAAGAACAUCAAGAUAAGAUCAGCACUAGAUUUGAGUGCUAAGUGCAAGAUGCUGCUAGGAGAACUUGCCAAACAAGAAUCAUAUCAAACAGUACCAGUUGUAGAACAACUGCAGCCACCAAAUGAGUACAUGCAUGCUUUAACUUCUAACAGGGUAUUUAUAUGAUGAUCAAUAAACUCAAAAGUUGAAUGGACUACCUUGAUGACCUUGGCACCAUCCAAACGGUAUCUGACACGCUUCCCCACAAUCUCAGCUGGGUACACGACAUCCUCCAAGAUACCAUCAUGAACAGCUGUCAGGGUCCUGGUGCGAGGGCGCUGAACAGCAGAACCCUUCUUGGGUGGCCUCACAAUCCUUCUUGUUGCAACAAAGACAACAUCCUGUACAAGUGAAGCACAUUUAUUAAAUUUCAUUGUUCCAAUUUUUAUCAACAUCAUUUCAGAGUUCAAACAAACUCCUCAAGCUAAACAACAUGUUACAGUUUUUAUACUGAUGAUCUGGGACGAAGUGCAAGGAGCUCAAGUGUAGCCAAUAAGCUUGGAGGCAAAGAUUUACAGUACAAACAUGAAAAAAAGAACAGUAGAACUUCAGUUUGACGACUGCAAUUAGCUUAUUAUAGAUGCCAACGAUGGCUACCUAUUGAGCAAUUUGCUUUCAUUUAAAUGCAACCAACGGAAAACUUGAGGUAAACAUGCUCAUGGAUACGACCUUGCCAUGAUACAUUUAUGUCUUAACCAACUUCAUAGACUAAUGAUGUUGUGAUUUAUUAUGCUCUGAGGUGCCGUUAAUUUUGACAUUCACAUCCUAACACGGAAACAACAGAUUCUAGUAUACUCAGUCAGCUCCCAAUAACGUAUCUAAGUGUUCAGCACUGCUACUGCAAGAUACUAUUUACAAAUUACAACAAUUGUGCAGCAACUUAAACAUGCGCUUAGACAGAAACUGAUGAAGCGAAGCACAACAAAGUAAACAAGAAUAAGCAAUUCACCUUGCCGCUAAACUUCUUCUCCAGCUCCCUGACGAGCCUGACAUGGAUCUUCCUGAAGGGCUUGCGCAGACGGUACGGCAC
This 1521-nucleotide long non-coding RNA is filed under the name Triticum aestivum (bread wheat). RNAcentral's name for it is "long non-coding RNA (TAES_LNC003381)". Lineage: Eukaryota; Viridiplantae; Streptophyta; Magnoliopsida; Poales; Poaceae. The record is from RNAcentral.